Molecule: ribosomal RNA, 968 nt
Filed under: Lactiplantibacillus plantarum
Lineage: Bacteria; Bacillati; Bacillota; Bacilli; Lactobacillales; Lactobacillaceae
Description: bacterial SSU rRNA
Rfam family: Bacterial small subunit ribosomal RNA
Source: RNAcentral
AAAGCCACGGCUAACUACGUGCCAGCAGCCGCGGUAAUACGUAGGUGGCAAGCGUUGUCCGGAUUUAUUGGGCGUAAAGCGAGCGCAGGCGGUUUUUUAAGUCUGAUGUGAAAGCCUUCGGCUCAACCGAAGAAGUGCAUCGGAAACUGGGAAACUUGAGUGCAGAAGAGGACAGUGGAACUCCAUGUGUAGCGGUGAAAUGCGUAGAUAUAUGGAAGAACACCAGUGGCGAAGGCGGCUGUCUGGUCUGUAACUGACGCUGAGGCUCGAAAGUAUGGGUAGCAAACAGGAUUAGAUACCCUGGUAGUCCAUACCGUAAACGAUGAAUGCUAAGUGUUGGAGGGUUUCCGCCCUUCAGUGCUGCAGCUAACGCAUUAAGCAUUCCGCCUGGGGAGUACGGCCGCAAGGCUGAAACUCAAAGGAAUUGACGGGGGCCCGCACAAGCGGUGGAGCAUGUGGUUUAAUUCGAAGCUACGCGAAGAACCUUACCAGGUCUUGACAUACUAUGCAAAUCUAAGAGAUUAGACGUUCCCUUCGGGGACAUGGAUACAGGUGGUGCAUGGUUGUCGUCAGCUCGUGUCGUGAGAUGUUGGGUUAAGUCCCGCAACGAGCGCAACCCUUAUUAUCAGUUGCCAGCAUUAAGUUGGGCACUCUGGUGAGACUGCCGGUGACAAACCGGAGGAAGGUGGGGAUGACGUCAAAUCAUCAUGCCCCUUAUGACCUGGGCUACACACGUGCUACAAUGGAUGGUACAACGAGUUGCGAACUCGCGAGAGUAAGCUAAUCUCUUAAAGCCAUUCUCAGUUCGGAUUGUAGGCUGCAACUCGCCUACAUGAAGUCGGAAUCGCUAGUAAUCGCGGAUCAGCAUGCCGCGGUGAAUACGUUCCCGGGCCUUGUACACACCGCCCGUCACACCAUGAGAGUUUGUAACACCCAAAGUCGGUGGGGUAACCUUUAGGAACCAGCCG